This 2077-nucleotide ribosomal RNA is filed under the name gut metagenome. Its description in RNAcentral is "bacterial LSU rRNA". It matches the Rfam family "Bacterial large subunit ribosomal RNA", at positions 724 to 2816 of the family's 2925-position model. The record is from RNAcentral.
GGUGACCUAUCCAUGAGCAGGUUGAAGUGGAGGUAAAGCUCCAUGGAGGACCGAACCAGACGUCUGUUGAAAAAGGCGGGGAUGACUUGUGGAUAGGGGAGAAAUUCCAAUCGAACCCGGAGAUAGCUGGUUCUCCUCGAAAUAGCUUUAGGGCUAGCCUCAUGGAUCAUUGGUGGGGGUAGAGCACUGAAUGUGCGCGGGGGCCACAAAGCCUACCAAACGCUAUCAAACUUCGAAUACCAUACAAUGCAGACCAUGGGAGUCAGUCCGCGAGAGAUAAGUUCCGCGGGCAAAAGGGGAACACCCCAGAUCAACCGCUAAGGUCCCCAAGUUCACGUUAAGUGGAGAAGGAUGUGGAAUUGCACAGACAACCAGGAUGUUGGCUCAGAAGCAGCCACACAUUUAAAGAGUGCGUAAUAGCUCACUGGUCGAGUGAUUGUGCGCCGAAGAUGUCCGGGGCUAAACGUGACACCGAAGCGAUGGGUGCAUCUGAAAGGAUGCGCGGUAGAGGAGCAAUGUGCAGAGGCAGAAGCCGUAUCGAGAGGCACGGUGGACACUGCACAAGAGAGAAUGCCGGUAUGAGUAGCGAGAGGCAUGCGAGAAACAUGCCCGUCGAAAGCCCAAGGUUUCCUGGGGAAGGUUCAUCCGCCCAGGGUAAGUCGGGGCCUAAGCCGAGGACGGAAGUCGUAGGCGAUGGACAGCAGGUGUAGAUUCCUGCACUACCGAUGGAAUGAAGCAGUGACACAGAAGGAUAACUCGAGCAGGGUGAUGGUCAACCCUGUGCAAGCAUCAAGGUUGGGUUGUAGUGAAGUACGCAACCCUAUAAGCUGAGGUGUGAUGCGGACCGAAAUUUCAGUAGGGAAGCGAGUGAGUUCACGCUGGCGAGAAAAGCUGCUAGUAUAUCCAAAGGUACCCGUACCGGAAACCGACGCAGGUGGGCGAGGAGAGAAUCCUGAGACGAACGGGAGAACCCUUGUUAAGGAACUCGGCAAAAUGACCCCGUAACUUCGGGAUAAGGGGUGCCUGCGAGAGCAGGCCGCAGAGAAUAGUCACAAGCGACUGUUUAGCAAAAACACAGGUAUCUGCGAAAGCGAGAGCUGACGUAUAGGUGCUGACACCUGCCCGGUGCUGGAAGGUUAAGGGAACAUGUUAGAGCAAUCGAAGCAUCGAACCGAAGCCCCAGUAAACGGCGGCCGUAACUAUAACGGUCCUAAGGUAGCGAAAUUCCUUGUCGGGUAAGUUCCGACCCGCACGAAUGGUGUAACGACUUGUGAGCUGUCUCAACAGGGGGCCCGGUGAAAUUGAAGUAUGGGUGAAGAUGCCCAUUACCCGCGACUGGACGGAAAGACCCCGUAGAGCUUUACUGCAGCCUGAUAUUGAGUUUCGGUAACUGAUGCACAGGAUAGGUGGGAGUCUGAGAGACAUGGGUUUCGGCUCAUGUGGAGACGGUGUUGGGAUACCACUCUUCGGUUACUGAAAUUCUAACAUAGCUCUGUGAAACCAGAGGAUGGACAGUGUCAGGUGGACAGUUUGACUGGGGCGGUCGCCUCCGAAAGAGUAACGGAGGCGCCCAAAGGUACCCUCAGAAUGGAUGGAAACCAUUCGAAGAGCGCAAAGGCAGAAGGGUGCCUGACUGCGAGAUUGACAAAUCGAGCAGAGACGAAAGUCGGGCUUAGUGAUCCGGCGGUAUUGAGUGGAAAAGCCGUCGCUUAACGGAUAAAAGCUACCUCGGGGAUAACAGGCUGAUCUCCCCCAAGAGUCCACAUCGACGGGGAGGUUUGGCACCUCGAUGUCGGCUCGUCGCAUCCUGGGGCUGAAGCAGGUCCCAAGGGUUUGGCUGUUCGCCAAUUAAAGCGGCACGCGAGCUGGGUUCAGAACGUCGUGAGACAGUUCGGUCCCUAUCCAUCGUGGGCGUAGGAGUCAUGAGAGGAGCUGUUCCUAGUACGAGAGGACCGGAAUGGACGCACCACUGGUGCAACUGUUGUCGUGCCAACGGCAUAGCAGGGAAGCGAAGUGCGGAUGGGAUAAACGCUGAAGGCAUCUAAGCGUGAAGCCCACCUCAAGAAUAAGACUCCAC